GAUGAACGCUGGCUGCGUGCCUAAUACAUGCAAGUCGAGCGAACGGACGAGAAGCUUGCUUCUCUGAUGUUAGCGGCGGACGGGUGAGUAACACGUGGAUAACCUACCUAUAAGACUGGGAUAACUUCGGGAAACCGGAGCUAAUACCGGAUAAUAUUUUGAACCGCAUGGUUCAAAAGUGAAAGACGGUCUUGCUGUCACUUAUAGAUGGAUCCGCGCUGCAUUAGCUAGUUGGUAAGGUAACGGCUUACCAAGGCAACGAUGCAUAGCCGACCUGAGAGGGUGAUCGGCCACACUGGAACUGAGACACGGUCCAGACUCCUACGGGAGGCAGCAGUAGGGAAUCUUCCGCAAUGGGCGAAAGCCUGACGGAGCAACGCCGCGUGAGUGAUGAAGGUCUUCGGAUCGUAAAACUCUGUUAUUAGGGAAGAACAUAUGUGUAAGUAACUGUGCACAUCUUGACGGUACCUAAUCAGAAAGCCACGGCUAACUACGUGCCAGCAGCCGCGGUAAUACGUAGGUGGCAAGCGUUAUCCGGAAUUAUUGGGCGUAAAGCGCGCGUAGGCGGUUUUUUAAGUCUGAUGUGAAAGCCCACGGCUCAACCGUGGAGGGUCAUUGGAAACUGGAAAACUUGAGUGCAGAAGAGGAAAGUGGAAUUCCAUGUGUAGCGGUGAAAUGCGCAGAGAUAUGGAGGAACACCAGUGGCGAAGGCGACUUUCUGGUCUGUAACUGACGCUGAUGUGCGAAAGCGUGGGGAUCAAACAGGAUUGGAUACCCUGGUAGUCCACGCCGUAAACGAUGAGUGCUAAGUGUUAGGGGGUUUCCGCCCCUUAGUGCUGCAGCUAACGCAUUAAGCACUCCGCCUGGGGAGUACGACCGCAAGGUUGAAACUCAAAGGAAUUGACGGGGACCCGCACAAGCGGUGGAGCAUGUGGUUUAAUUCGAAGCAACGCGAAGAACCUUACCAAAUCUUGACAUCCUUUAACAACUCUAGAGAUAGAGCCUUCCCCUUCGGGGGACAAAGUGACAGGUGGUGCAUGGUUGUCGUCAGCUCGUGUCGUGAGAUGUUGGGUUAAGUCCCGCAACGAGCGCAACCCUUAAGCUUAGUUGCCAUCAUUAAGUUGGGCACUCUAAGUUGACUGCCGGUGACAAACCGGAGGAAGGCGGGGAUGACGUCAAAUCAUCAUGCCCCUUAUGAUUUGGGCUACACACGUGCUACAAUGGACAAUACAAAGGGCAGCGAAACCGCGAGGUCAAGCAAAUCCCAUAAAGUUGUUCUCAGUUCGGAUUGUAGUCUGCAACUCGACUACAUGAAGCUGGAAUCGCUAGUAAUCGUAGAUCAGCAUGCUACGGUGAAUACGUUCCCGGGUCU
RNAcentral lists this ribosomal RNA (1372 nucleotides) under uncultured bacterium. Its description in RNAcentral is "bacterial SSU rRNA". It matches the Rfam family "Bacterial small subunit ribosomal RNA", at positions 28 to 1381 of the family's 1533-position model. The record is from RNAcentral.